AUGGUAGGAUAGAGGCCUACCAUGGUGGUAACGGGUAACGGGGUGUUAGGGCACGACACCGGAGAGGGAGCCUGAGAAACGGCUACCACAUCCAAGGAUGGCAGCAGGCGCGCAAAUUACCCAAUCCCGACACGGGGAGGUAGUGACAAUAAAUAACAAUACGGGGUUCUUUAGGAUCUCGUAAUUGGAAUGAGUACAAUUUAAAUCUCUUAACGAGGAACAAUUGGAGGGCAAGUCUGGUGCCAGCAGCCGCGGUAAUUCCAGCUCCAAUAGCGUAUAUNAAAGUUGUUGCAGUUAAAAAGUUCGUAGUUGAAUUUCGGGGUCAGUAGGUCGGUCGUGCCACUGGUAUGAACUGGUUUUACUGAUUCCUCCCUCUUGAAGAACUGUAAUGCCAUUAAUUUGGUGUUGCAGGGAAUCAGGACUGUUACUUUGAAAAAAUUAGAGUGUUUAAAGCAGGCUUUAGCUUGAAUACAUUAGCAUGGAAUAAUGAAAUAGGACGUUUGAUCCUAUUUUGUUGGUUCCUAGGAUUGACGUAAUGAUUAAUAGGGAUAGUUGGGGGCAUUAGUAUUCAAUUGUCAGAGGUGAAAUUCUUGGAUUUAUUGAAGACUAACUACUGCGAAAGCAUUUGCCAAGGAUGUUUUCAUUAAUCAAGAACGAAAGUUAGGGGAUCGAAGACGAUCAGAUACCGUCGUAGUCUUAACCAUAAACUAUGCCGACUAGGGAUCGGAUGAUGUUAAUUUUUUAAUGACUCAUUCGGCGCCUUACGGGAAACCAAAGUGUUUGGG
This 785-nucleotide ribosomal RNA is filed under the name uncultured Glomus. RNAcentral describes it as "SSU rRNA". It matches the Rfam family "Eukaryotic small subunit ribosomal RNA", at positions 325 to 1111 of the family's 1831-position model. Lineage: Eukaryota; Fungi; Glomeromycota; Glomeromycetes; Glomerales; Glomeraceae. The record is from RNAcentral.